RNAcentral lists this long non-coding RNA (3989 nucleotides) under Triticum aestivum (bread wheat). RNAcentral's name for it is "long non-coding RNA (TAES_LNC012016)". Lineage: Eukaryota; Viridiplantae; Streptophyta; Magnoliopsida; Poales; Poaceae. The record is from RNAcentral.
AAAUAUCUCUCUCGCCCCACACCCCACUCUCCCUCUCCGACCCCCCUCCUCAGAUCCCCUAGCUCAACGAGUGCCUCCAUGGCUCCGCCGCCGCGCACCACCGCGCCCAUUGGCCACCUCGAGCUGCACGGCUUGUCCAGGAGGACGGGCGUGCUCCUCUUCAUCGACCACACCCCGGGGUCGAGGCCGAGAAGCACCACCAGUGACGCCCGCGCCCGUUCCCCUCGUCGGCGUCCACCUCGGCCACCGGUUCGAUCCGCGGACGUCCGACCCUCGGCCCCCUCGACCUCGUCGCGACCCUCACUGUGAGCUCGCGCACCUCCCCUCUCUUCUCGUUUUACGCGCGUGCCCCUAGCUCUGAUUUUCCCCGCCGUUGCCGAACCUCGACGCAGCUACUGUCAAAGUUGCUGCUGGUGUUGUUUGUUGCAGCCGCCGUCGCCAUUACAAGGCACCCCAGCCGCUGCCGUUGAUGCAAAUCGACGCGUUGCAUCGCUGCGGUCCCGUAGCUUCUCCUCCCAGGCCAAAUGGUGGCCGGGAGCGCCGAUCCGCGUGUCGCCGAUGUUCCUGAAGCUCGUGACCGGCGCGCGCGUGCGUUUAAAACGUCGGCCUCGCCCGCGUGCCCCAUGCCCGUCCGUGCUCGCCCAGCCACCCGCUGUUGUUGCCUGCUUCCGCCACUGGCGCCGCGGUCGCUGUCUUCUGCGCCCGCACCGCGACCCAUCGUCACCCGCAGCGGCCCUUGCCCUGUGCUGCUGUUGCUCUCUGCGCCGAGGCUUCCAUGGCCUGCUUCCCUCACCCACCACGGCCUGCUGCCGCUGCUUAGCCGUAGCUGCUGCUGCUCAAACCUGCUGCUGCGUUGCUACCGAGUGUGCUGCGUGGUGUGUGUGCGUGUGUGUUCUGGUGUGUGGCUGGCUUUUACCACAGCCGUGUGUGUGGCCGGCCUUUUGCUAGCUUAGGGGCUAAUCCCCAACUAAAACAAGCCCCUUUGUUAGACUAGUUUAUAUUAGGCUUAGUUCUAGUUGUACCCUAUGACAUGUGGGCCAGCCCCUAUAAAACCAAAAAAAGGAACGAAAAAGGAAAUAAAAAAAUUAGAAAUUAAUCAAUUAAUUAAUUAGUAAUAUAAUUAAUUAACUUAAUUAAGAUGCUUAAUAACCUAAUUAACUAGAUUAGUUAAUCUAGUAUUAUUUAACUAAACUGUGUCUAUGACAGGUGGACCCCACCCGCUGUUGACCAGUCAAACAUUGACUGGUCAACUGGGACCCCCUGGACCCAUUGGUCAGCCCCUGGGUGCAUUCUGGGUGCACUACACGGGGUGCACUUAGCAGUUUUGCUAUUCUAAUUCAAAUUAAUAAUAAAUCCAGAAUAUUGUUUAAAUCUUUGAAAAAUCGUAGAAAUUAAAUCGUAGCUCGGAUGAAAAAGUUCUCUACAUGAAAGUUGCUCAGAAUUUCGAGACGAAUCCGGAUACGCGAUCCGUUCGUCGGCCACACGUCUCUAGCAUAGCCAACCUACAAACUUUCCCCUCCGGUUCAUCUGUCUAACAGACGUCCGGGACCAGGGAAACUUUCCCGGAUGUUUCCCCCUUCGCCAGUAUCUCCUAGCACUGAGUUAGAACACCUCUAUUGCCGCUUAUUGUCUUGUUAUGCUUAUGUUUGCGUGUAUUUACUGUUUCUUCCCCCUCUUCUUCUCCGGUAGACCUCGAGACCGCUGCUGAUGCCCCUGUGAUCAACUACAUCGACGACGACCCUUGUUCUGUUUCAGCAAAGCUUCCAGGCAAGCCCCCCCUUUGAUCAUCCCGAUAUCGCCCAUUCUAUACUCUCAUACUUGCAUUAGAUUUUGCUACUGUUAUUGAUUGCUCAUAUUCUGAUGCAUAGCCUGUUUUUGUAACCUGCUGUUGUACCUUACCUGCUUAUUCUAAACUGCUUAGUAUAGGUUGGUUAGUGAUCCAUCAGUGACCCCCACUUGUCUUUGUUGCCCCUGCUUCAUCAUCCACGACUCGAUCAACAUGAUCGACGACAGCCCGACACCUCACGUCACAUCACGCCCCUUUAGUUGCUCGACUCUGCAGAGCUACUAUCGAGUGCCGAGGGUGAUCCCUCAUAACGCACUCCUGAUGAUAAUUCUGUAGUGUAGCUAUUCGGUCGUGGUCAUCGAGGGUGAUUUCCUCUUUCACCAUUCCCAUUACGGCUCUGUUGUGCAACACCUCAAGUGUGAACCUUGAGGGUGGUCCCUCUUACGUUCACCUUGAUGAUUACAUUGAGUGGAAUCCAUUGGGGAUGAUUCCUCGGGUUUUUCCCUUGAUGUCUGGAUGCACAGUUACCUUGACUUCACUUGAGACCGUUGUGAAAGCCGGGCGGGCCCGGAGAGCACCCGUGCGAUGUGACAGUGGCGGCUGGCUGUUUAGCGGUAUCACCCAGAAGGGGUGAUAGCUCCGGACUUGUCCCGACAGCCGUCACUCCUUUUAAUAGUGCACUAACAUGUUUGGGUAUUUGUUCUGAGUUGGCCUUUGGCCUUUACACACUAACCACCACGCGAGGAUAGUUAUGGGUCUCAACGUCGCAGUAUCAGCCGAAGCUUUGUCAGACGUCCAGUUCAGCAGUGCGGCACGGUCGGAUCGUGCUGGCCGUCCGAGGCGGUACUGGUAUCCACCCUGCUCACAACGACCCGGAGUGCUGCGGGCGAUGGGCCCAAGACCCCGGAGUGCUUAGGUUGUAGACCGGCGGGGACCUCUCUGCUGAGCCUAGGUAGGGCUGCGACGUGUUGAUCUUCCGAGGGCGGGCAUUGACCCCAAAAAGGUGUGUCCGGCCAGAGUGAUCGAGCGUGUUGGGUAACGUGGUGCACCCCUGCAGGGAAGAUCUUUAUUCGAAUACCGUGUCCUCGAUAAUGGAUGUUCAGACUUGUAUCCUGAUCUUAUACAACUAGAAAUGGAUACUUGAUAUGUGAUGGAUAUGUGGCUCCGGGAUUGCUUUCUCGCAGGGAGUCGAGGAAGGAUCUCUGGGCAUUAAUGUUACAACAUGCCUGUUAAUUAUAAACUGCUAUUCUUUACUCUUCUACAUGCUGCAAGAUGCUCGAAGCUGCGUGAAGAUGCUAGUCUUCGAUAGGCUAGGCCUUCCCCCCUUAUUUUGGCAUUCUGCAGUUCAGUCCACAGAUACAUCCUUUUCAUUUGAUACCAAUGCAUACUUAGUAUAGAUCUGAUGCUUGCGAGUACUUUGGAUGAGUACUCACGGUUGCUUUGCUCCCCCUUUUAUCCCUUUCUUCCUUCUUUCCGGUUGUUGCAACCAGAUGGUGGAUCCCUGGAGCUGGAUGCCACCGCUGACGGAUUCUGCUACGUGGAGACCGCCGACGAUUGUUUGGAUUCUGCCCUUCUAGCAACCCUCUUGCUUUGAAGUUAAUGGUCGUCCGUUCAUUCUUAGACUAUUGAUUAUUGUAUCGCCAUUUCGAGAUUGGUCAUGCUCCCUAAGCCCAUAUUUUAGGUGCACCUUUCAACCAGUGUUUAAUGGUGUAUGUUUUCCUCGAGCAUACAUCAUUAUAUCAUUUGAUCUGACAAAUGUUAUCUCCUUGUUUAUAUAACUGUGGAAAUCCAUCUUUUUGAAAAAUCUCAAUGAGUUGAUGCUAAGUCCAUCAGCCACCUUCUCAUCCCCUCCUUGAUUUAAUGAUGAACUAUUGCUUCAGGAACCCGCUCCCGUAGUUCUUUUCCUGAGAAUCUUGCAUGUCAUUUCGUCGAUUUGUGUUGCACUUUUUCUUCUCGGACAUCCUGAGUCUGAGGUAUCAUGACACCAAUCGGAUCUGAAUCUCGGUCAGAUAUGAUGGUUGGGACAACUUUCCAGGAGUUAUGAUGUUGGUCCGUUGAUGACCCGGUAAGAUGAUGUCAUGCCUAGCAAUCCCCCUGGCUGGAGGACCUAUCAUUAUAAUUUCUUUUGUAAGGAUAACCAUUCUUCCUAAAGGAAAUUGUAAGACUUGUUUUAUAAGUUGCUCCUGAUGGAUCAUUUGUGUAU